Molecule: ribosomal RNA, 378 nt
Filed under: uncultured bacterium
Lineage: Bacteria
Description: bacterial SSU rRNA
Rfam family: Bacterial small subunit ribosomal RNA
Source: RNAcentral
GACGAACGCUGGCGGCGUGCUUAACACAUGCAAGUCGAGCGGUAAGGCCCUUUCGGGGGUACGACGAGCGGCGAACGGGUAGAGUAACACGUGGGUGACCUGCCCUCAGCUCUGGGAGUAAGCCUGGGAAACCGGGUCUAAUACCGGAUAUGACUCCAUGACGCAUGUUGUGGGGUGGAAAGCCUUGUGCGGCUGAGGAUGGGCCCGCGGCCUAUCAGCUUGUUGGUGGGGUGAUGGCCUACCAAGGCGACGACGGGUAGCCGGCCUGAGAGGGCGACCGGCCACACUGGGACUGAGACACGGCCCAGACUCCUACGGGAGGCAGCAGUGGGGAAUCUUGCGCAAUGGGCGAAAGCCUGACGCAGCGACGCCGCGUGA